RNAcentral lists this ribosomal RNA (445 nucleotides) under uncultured bacterium. RNAcentral describes it as "bacterial SSU rRNA". It matches the Rfam family "Bacterial small subunit ribosomal RNA", at positions 331 to 793 of the family's 1533-position model. The record is from RNAcentral.
CCAGACUCCUACGGGAGGCAGCAGUGGGGAAUAUUGCACAAUGGGGGAAACCCUGAUGCAGCGACGCCGCGUGAAGGAAGAAGUACUUCGGUAUGUAAACUUCUAUCAGCAGGGAAGAAAAUGACGGUACCUGACUAAGAAGCCCCGGCUAACUACGUGCCAGCAGCCGCGGUAAUACGUAGGGGGCAAGCGUUAUCCGGAUUUACUGGGUGUAAAGGGAGCGUAGGCGGUGCAGCAAGUCAGAAGUGAAAGCCCAAGGCUCAACCAUGGGACUGCUUUUGAAACUGUCAAGCUAGAGUACGGGAGAGGUAAGAGGAAUUCCUAGUGUAGCGGUGAAGUGCGUAGAUAUUAGGAGGAACACCAGUGGCGAAGGCGUCUUACUGGACCGAAACUGACGUUGAGGCUCGAAAGCGUGGGGAGCAAACAGGAUUAGAUACCCCCGUAA